Molecule: unclassified non-coding RNA, 798 nt
Filed under: Hevea brasiliensis (rubber tree)
Lineage: Eukaryota; Viridiplantae; Streptophyta; Magnoliopsida; Malpighiales; Euphorbiaceae
Source: RNAcentral
GUGGGUUCUUUACUUAAGAAAGCAUGGAAAUGGAAAGUAUCAGUUGUAGCAUGGAUUCCCAUCAUCGACGAACCAUUAGGGGGAAGAUUUGUCCUUUUUCAGCAAAAUAUUUAGGGUGAUUGGCGGUGUGUCUCGAGGUGGCAAGGGUACCUCAUGGGGCUGUGGUUGAGUUUCACUGUUCUUUGGUGUCUUUUGAGCCUCUAUGGUAGUAGGUUUUCCUGGCGAUGAGAAAUGUUCCAUGGUCAGCGAUCAUUUUGAAAGGACAAGGGAUAAAGUUCCAAAUUGGCUUGAGAGAAUGUUCAGAGGUAGGACAAGUGAAAGUGAGAGUUGUGCUCUGAUGAUGAUGGAAACUGGAUAGACAUUUUUCUGAGUUUUAUGUGCUGGAUUUGGUUGGUAGAUUUUUGUAGCAUAUUAUGUAUCUUUGGUGCUGAUUUGUUAAAGGUUGGUGUGGUAAGAAAAGGCUGAGGAAUAAGGGAUGAGGAUUGAAUGGAAAAAGCAAUUAGCGAUUGUGAAGGGUGGGUAGUCUGUGGAGGUCCUAGUAGCUGGAGCAUCAUAGGAGAAGGGUUGGAUGAAAUGGAAAUAGAGUUUGUACACAUCCAUGGACCAAAAUUAGUUUUGAAGGAAUUUGCACUAUCAGCGUCCUCUUGUUCCUCAGUUGUAGGACAUUUCCAACUGUAAUUACCCACUAUUCCGCAAUUGUAACAAAUGUCAAGAAGUUUCUCAUACUUGAUGCUAACUUUUUGCCAACUACUAUUCUGCUUAAGGUUUUGAAAUCCAGAAAUGAAAGGUCUAUCUAGG